This is a small nuclear RNA of Cervus hanglu yarkandensis (Yarkand deer), 108 nucleotides long. The record is from Ensembl. NCBI's taxonomy places the organism in Eukaryota, Metazoa, Chordata, Mammalia, Artiodactyla, Cervidae.
GUGCUCACUUCAGCAGCACAUAUACUAAAAAUUGAAACGAUACAGAGAAGAUUAGCAUGGCCCCUGCCUAAGGAUGACACACAAAUUCGUGAAGUGUUCCAUAUUUUU